Tympanuchus pallidicinctus (lesser prairie-chicken) is the source of this 366-nucleotide long non-coding RNA. RefSeq lists it as uncharacterized. Lineage: Eukaryota; Metazoa; Chordata; Aves; Galliformes; Phasianidae. The transcript has 2 exons. The record is from RefSeq and is a predicted model, not a curated record.
CUUUGGGAAAUGUGUAAUUUGAGAAAAUGAACAUACCUUAGGCAGUGGUUUCUUCUCAGCACAGUUUAUACCUCCAACAAAGACCAUAUUGGGCAUCACUGGUCUGGGAUACUCAAACACAAAGUCAAAUCUCAUUAUUGAAAUAGAAGCAGACUUCAGGAGGUCAGUCAGGGAUACAUCUCUUUGAAGAACUUCAGAGGAAAGCUGUUUUGCAGCUCGAUAGAACCCAUUACAGUAGAAGAGCUCCAAGAAAGAAAUCAGUGUAUUUUCCACUCUCUGGAAAAAUGUCAUGUGGUCUGAAUUGAAGGAAAAUAGCCUAGGGACAUACGACAGAGGGCUUGGGCACUGUGUAGCUUCGUAGUGUAG